AUAAUAAAGUAGUCAAUCUCAAAUAUUAAACGUCAUUAAGAAGAUGUAUGAGUGGGUGAUUACAAUGUAGAAACAAUGGGAGGGGAUGCAAACGAGUUCAACAUAAUAGUGUGUUUACAUUAAGGAUUAUCUUUGAGUCCAUACCUAAUUUGCCUUAGUUAUAGAUGAGCUAACCAUCCAUAUUGUCCCAUGGUUCAUUUUAUUUGUAGAUAAUAUUGUCUUA
Molecule: unclassified non-coding RNA, 223 nt
Filed under: Hevea brasiliensis (rubber tree)
Lineage: Eukaryota; Viridiplantae; Streptophyta; Magnoliopsida; Malpighiales; Euphorbiaceae
Source: RNAcentral